AGUAAAUAGAUACCCGGUAGUCCACGCCGUAAACGAUGAGUACUAGGUGUAGGAGGUAUCGACUCCUUCUGUGCCGCAGUUAAAACACAAUAAGUACUCCGCCUGGGAAGUACGGUCGCAAGAUUAAAACUCAAAGGAAUUGACGGGGGCCCGCACAAGCAGCGGAGCAUGUGGUUUAAAUUCGAAGCAACGCGAAGAACCUUACCUAGACUUGACAUCCCCUGAAUAACGUAGAGAUACGCGAAGCCCUUCGGGGCAGGGAGACAGGUGGUGCAUGGUUGUCGUCAGCUCGUGUCGUGAGAUGUUGGGUUAAGUCCCGCAACGAGCGCAACCCUUAUCAUUAGUUGCUACCAUUUAGUUGAGCACUCUAGUGAGACUGCCCGGGUUAACCGGGAGGAAGGCGGGGAUGACGUCAAAUCAUCAUGCCCCUUAUGUCUAGGGCUACACACGUGCUACAAUGGUGAGAACAACGAGAUGCAAUACCGCGAGGUGGAGCAAAACUUCAAAACUCAUCUCAGUUCGGAUUGUAGGCUGAAACUCGCC
Molecule: ribosomal RNA, 543 nt
Filed under: uncultured bacterium
Lineage: Bacteria
Description: bacterial SSU rRNA
Rfam family: Bacterial small subunit ribosomal RNA
Source: RNAcentral